AUGGCCUGGACUCCUCUGCUCCUCGCGCUCCUCUCUCUCUGCACAGGGUCCCUCUCCCAGCAGCUCAUGGUGACCCAGCCGCCCUCCCUCUCUGCAUCUCCGGGAGCCACAGCCAGACUCACCUGCACCCUGAGCAGUGGCUACAAUGUUGGCAGCUACCAUAUACGCUGGUACCAGCAGAAGCCAGGGAGCCCUCCCCGGUAUCUCCUGAGAUUCUACUCAGACUCAAAUAAGCACCAGGGCUCCGGGGUCCCCAGCCGCUUCUCUGGAUCCAAAGACGCCUCGGCCAAUGCGGGGCUCCUGCUCAUCUCGGGGCUGCAGCCUGAGGACGAGGCUGACUAUUACUGCGCUGCAGAUCCGGGCAGUGGUAGCAGCAACCGUUACCCACAGUGUCUCAGAGGACGAGGAACCACACUGCAUGUGGUCCUGAGCACACUGAGAGCUGAGGAAACUGAGUGA
Non-coding RNA from Eptesicus fuscus (big brown bat), 459 nucleotides. NCBI's taxonomy places the organism in Eukaryota, Metazoa, Chordata, Mammalia, Chiroptera, Vespertilionidae. The record is from the annotation of a RefSeq genome assembly.